Molecule: long non-coding RNA, 1498 nt
Organism: Mustela lutreola (European mink)
Lineage: Eukaryota; Metazoa; Chordata; Mammalia; Carnivora; Mustelidae
Exons: 5
Source: RefSeq, a predicted model, not a curated record
AGUUAGUCUAUUACAGUGCCUUCCAUAGUCUCCUUCUCCAUAGAGUUAGUUCUCUGGCCACUUUGCGGAAAGAUAAGGUGGAGUAAAACGUGCGGUGGAGGUCACAUGGUGUUUGUGCAAAUCGCUUGGGUCUACAGGGCACCAGAGUGGGGCUAAAGUGCGAAUGAGGUGGAACACUCAGGAACAGCCUGUCAGAACAAGCAUGAUUUAAAGCAGCUGCCCUGGAGAGUGUGUCAUUUUUUAUAGCAAUAAAAGCAGUAAUGAUGGACUUUAUAUUGCAGUCACAAGCUACCAUUACUAUGUCAGGCAGUGUUAUCAGUAGGAUGAAUGGCUGUUAACUUCAUGUGGAGAGAGAAAAAUGUAUGGAGCUGUAGAUACAUCCAGAUUCUGGGGCAGACAGGAAUGGCUUGUCGGGAUCUUGGAAGAAGCAAAACUGGAAGAUUGUCCUGAUUGAAUCUGACUAUUUCUCAAUACUGUCAACUCUGCCAAAAACCUCAGCAAAGAAAGUAAUUACCUUUUAAAGUAUUUCUCCCACUCUGAUCCUUGUUUUAAGGAAUCUGCAUCCAAAGUGGGUCUUGGACUCACAACCCUGAGAUCAAGCAUCGCAUACUCCACUGUCUGAGCCAGCCUGGUGCUCCAAAGCUCUUAUGUCUUUUAGCAGAAUGUAAUUAUUGACAGCAUUCCAUGAAAAAUUAAUUUUGUAGAGCAAGAAUAUUCAUUGAUGUUAAAAUAUCCUAUGAAUUGAUUUUAUAAUCCAUUUUCCUUUCUAACUUUGUUAUUCAGGUAUUCCCCCUGCCUUUUAAAAAAGUUUGCCUUACACCACUUCACUUUCAUUAGAGAUCUCUAUUAGUACCUGUUUUUGCUAACUGAAAGAAAUCUCAAGAGGGGUUUCACUUUUACAAAGAAGUGUGCAAAGCGAAAAUUGCAUUUAGCAUUUGUUUUCAAUGAGGGGUUAUAGAGGCAGCCUGAACCCUAACAGUGAGAGUGGCCCCACUAAGCUUCUUUCUCAGAACUAUACCCAGCAUCUUAGCAUUAAGCUGCCAUAUCUCUGAACUGUGUUUGUGAGCGUCUGUGUUUUAUCUCCAUUUAUUGUGUGCAUCCUCUAGCAAGAUGGUAUCCCAAGGUAUCAGAAAAGCCUAAGGGAUUAUUUUCAUGUCUAGAAACAUGUGGAAAAAAUAUCUGUAUAAAUUAAUGGCAAUUGCUUCUUCACUUUAUGUUAUUUCAGCUUUUAAAAGUUUUCAUAGGCAAGCUCUACUUUAAAAUACUGGGGAAACCUGUAUUUUCAAAGUGAUUCAAAGACAUGCAUUUCAGUUUCAUAGCAUAUUAACAUUAUUUUAAUGACUCUUAGCAAAAAUUUAAAUGUAAUUUUACCUACUCUGUUGUCUGUUAACAUUUAUUUGCCAUCUUCUUUCAGUUCAAAACUGAAAGAGAAUUCCUCUUCAAGUGACUUCUUAACAAGUCUUUGUCAUUAACAUAAAAAUAAAAAUUAUUUCAUCUG